This 227-nucleotide unclassified non-coding RNA is filed under the name Hevea brasiliensis (rubber tree). Lineage: Eukaryota; Viridiplantae; Streptophyta; Magnoliopsida; Malpighiales; Euphorbiaceae. The record is from RNAcentral.
UGCACCAAGAAUGAAAAAGAAAGGAGAUUGAGAUAAUAGAAAAAAUAGGGAUGAGAAAUAGAUAGAGAGAAUAGAUGAGGGAAGAAUAUUAUUUUCUUUACUGAUCAUAACUCUUUCCUUUCUUCCAUUACAUUUCUAUUUAUAGACUCUCAACUAAGUUUGAUUUCUUAACAACCUUCAGUCAUUUCCCUCCAUUUACAACUCUGCCCAUAACAGCUCAUAUCCUA